UUGAUCCUGGCUCAGGAUGAACGCUAGCGGCAGGCUUAACACAUGCAAGUCGAGGGGUAUGGUUCUUCGGAACCAGAGACCGGCGCACGGGUGCGUAACGCGUAUGCAAUCUACCUUUCACAGAGGGAUAGCCCAGAGAAAUUUGGAUUAAUACCUCAUAGUAUAUUGAUCUCGCAUGAGAUUAUUAUUAAAGAUUUAUCGGUGAAAGAUGAGCAUGCGUCCCAUUAGUUAGUUGGUAAGGUAACGGCUUACCAAGACUACGAUGGGUAGGGGUACCUGAGAGGGAGAUCCCCACACUGGUACUGAGACACA
Molecule: ribosomal RNA, 312 nt
Filed under: CFB group bacterium OI-9-1
Lineage: Bacteria; Pseudomonadati; Bacteroidota
Description: bacterial SSU rRNA
Rfam family: Bacterial small subunit ribosomal RNA
Source: RNAcentral